This is a long non-coding RNA of Brachypodium distachyon (stiff brome), 502 nucleotides long. RefSeq lists it as uncharacterized. The transcript is spliced from 2 exons. The record is from RefSeq and is a predicted model, not a curated record. NCBI's taxonomy places the organism in Eukaryota, Viridiplantae, Streptophyta, Magnoliopsida, Poales, Poaceae.
CACCGCCUGUUCAUCUCUCCCGGAGCUCGUCGCCGGCGGUCUGGCCAGGAGCUCGUCGCUGCCAUCCACCGGACGCGCCGACCUGCUUGUGUUCUGCUUGUGUGAGAAAUUCAGCUGAAGCCAGUUUCUAAAGAAGUUCAAGCCGAAAAGAACAUGGCCCUUGAACCGUGGGUGGAGAAGGGGCCAACAACGGCAAGAAGCUAGCAGGGGUCCGUGAAACCGCCACUAACCCCAACUGACGGGCACAGAGUUGUGAACUUUUUAUACGGUAAAUUGCAUAUGGUAGCAGGAUAUAGGUGCGUGGCAGUUGUGCAUAUACUAUAGGGCAGGAGGUUGGGUAGGAGGGACCGGGAUCCAGUCCCCUGCCCCACUUAGAGCAAGAUUAAUAAAAGAGCUUGUUGUUUGGCUAUAACCUCUUGUCAUGUCAUCUAUAGUUAGUGCAAUAGUCAAUAUGUAUAAUAGUUGGUUAUAAAUAUGAACUACUUUAUUAGCACUUGGCCCA